GGCUUAGAAGCAGCCAUCGUUUAAAGAAAGCGUAAUAGCUCACUGGUCUAAUGACUCUGCGCCGAAAAUGUAACGGGGCUAAGCAUGGUACCGAAGCUUCGGAUUCCUCUUUUGAGGAGUGGUAGGGGAGCGUUCUCUAUGGGCAGAAGCUGCAUUGUAAAGUGCGGUGGACGGUAGAGAAGUGAUUAUGCUGACAUGAGUAACGAUAAAACAGGUGAAAAACCUGUUCGCCGAAAACCCAAGGUUUCCUGGGUAAAGUUAAUCUUCCCAGGGUGAGUCGGACCCUAAGGCGAGGGCGAAAGCCGUAGCUGAUGGAAAACGGGUUAAUAUUCCCGUACUUCUUAUGGUGUGCGAUGGAGGGACGCAGAAAGAUAGGUGGGCCAACUGUUGGAUGUUGGUGCAAGCUGGUAGGAAUGCCUCGCCGGCAAAUCCGCGAGGUGAAUCCGAGAAGCGAGUCCGUGGGCGCAAGCCCUGAAGCCAUUGAGUCUCCGCUGCCAAGAAAAGCUCCUAAGUUUAGCCAUGAGGAUCCGUACUGCAAACCAACUCAGGUGGGUGGGAUGAAUAAUCCAAGGCGCUCGAGAGAACUCUGGCCAAGGAACUCGGCAAAAUAACCCCGUAACUUCGGAAGAAGGGGUGCUCUCUAGGGUGACAUGUUUAACAUAUGAAGCCCCGGGGAGCCGCAGUGAAUUGGUGGUGGCGACUGUUUACUAAAAACAUAGGUCUGUGCGAAGUCGCAAGACGACGUAUACGGACUGACGCCUGCCCGGUGCCGGAAGGUUAAGAGGAGAGGUCAGCGCAAGCGAAGCCUUGAAUCGAAGCCCCGGUAAACGGCGGCCGUAACUAUAACGGUCCUAAGGUAGCGAAAUUCCUUGUCGGGUAAGUUCCGACCUGCACGAAUGGCGUAACGAUCUCCACACUGUCUCGGCCAGAGACUCGGUGAAAUUGAAGUCGCGGUGAAAAUGCCGUGUACCCGCAGAAAGACGGAAAGACCCUGUGCACCUUUACUAUAGCUUGACAUUGGAUUUUGGGCCUACAUGUGUAGGAUAGGUGGGAGGCAAUGAAAUCUGUACGCCAGUAUGGAUGGAGCCACUGUUGAAAUACCACCCUUGUAUGUCUAAGGUCCUAACUCCACGCAGUGAACCUGCUGGAAGACAUUGUCUGGUGGGUAGUUUGACUGGGGCGGUCGCCUCCCAAAGAGUAACGGAGGCAUGCAAAGGUUCCCUCAGGCUGUUCGGAAACCAGCCGUUGAGUGCAAACGCAUAAGGGAGCUUGACUGCAAGAGAGACAUCUCGAGCAGGUACGAAAGUAGGCGUUAGUGAUCCGGUGGUCCCGCAUGGAAGGGCCAUCGCUCAUUGGAUAAAAGGUACGCCGGGGAUAACAGGCUGAUC
RNAcentral lists this ribosomal RNA (1388 nucleotides) under human gut metagenome. Its description in RNAcentral is "bacterial LSU rRNA". It matches the Rfam family "Bacterial large subunit ribosomal RNA", at positions 1103 to 2487 of the family's 2925-position model. The record is from RNAcentral.